Molecule: long non-coding RNA, 610 nt
Filed under: Homo sapiens (human)
Lineage: Eukaryota; Metazoa; Chordata; Mammalia; Primates; Hominidae
Description: non-protein coding lnc-VKORC1L1-7:1
Source: RNAcentral
GCGAGUAGGGGCAGGAGGAGGCCCACCCUACGCCCUGUCCGGCGCGGGGCAUAAGCCCUGCCUGCAUCCUGAGAUCCCGGGUCCGCAAACUUGGGCCCCACUGAGCAGCAACGCCAGAACCCAGAAGCACUUACUGCCAGGAACAGGGUACUCCAGUGCGCCAUAGCGUCGCGGCCGCUGGGCGAGGGGUGGGACUGCAGGCACCGUGCAGCCGCGGACCAAUGAGCGGGGGCCGGACAGCCCGUGGCCCAAUAGCGGCGGCGCGGGCACGCUAGGGGCGGGCUGGGCGCGCCGACUUUUCCGGAAGAUCCGGAUAGUGCAUCCCGGCCACGGCGCGCCUGCUCUGGGCUCUCCGCGUGCCGCGUCGCUUUCUUUUCUUCCUCUGGAGCAGUUAUGGCGGCGGCGAAGACCCUGAACCCCAAGGCCAAGGUGGCCGGAGCGCAGGCGGCGCUGGCGUUCAACAUUAGCGGGGCGCGGGGUCUGCAGGACGUGCUGAGGACCAACCUGGGGCCCAAAGGGACCAUAAAGAUCAAAUUCAACACCCAACAGCUUCCUUAAUAGCAAAGGUAGCAACAGCCCAGGAUGAUAUAACUGGUGAUGGUACGACUUC